GUCCAGACUCCUACGGGAGGCAGCAGUGGGGAAUAUUGCACAAUGGGGGAAACCCUGAUGCAGCGACGCCGCGUGAGCGAUGAAGUAUUUCGGUACGUAAAGCUCUAUCAGCAGGGAAGAAGAUGACGGUACCUGACUAAGAAGCCCCGGCUAACUACGUGCCAGCAGCCGCGGUAAUACGUAGGGGGCAAGCGUUAUCCGGAUUUACUGGGUGUAAAGGGAGCGUAGACGGCGAUGCAAGCCAGAUGUGAAAGCCCGGGGCUCAACCCCGGGACUGCAUUUGGAACUGUGUGGCUGGAGUGUCGGAGAGGCAGGCGGAAUUCCUAGUGUAGCGGUGAAAUGCGUAGAUAUUAGGAGGAACACCAGUGGCGAAGGCGGCCUGCUGGACGAUGACUGACGUUGAGGCUCGAAAGCGUGGGGAGCAAACAGGAUUAGAUACCCCUGUAA
Molecule: ribosomal RNA, 447 nt
Filed under: uncultured bacterium
Lineage: Bacteria
Description: bacterial SSU rRNA
Rfam family: Bacterial small subunit ribosomal RNA
Source: RNAcentral